This 75-nucleotide transfer RNA is filed under the name Prevotellaceae bacterium. RNAcentral describes it as "tRNA-Pro". It matches the Rfam family "tRNA". From Rfam's summary of the family: Transfer RNA (tRNA) molecules are approximately 80 nucleotides in length. The record is from RNAcentral. Lineage: Bacteria; Pseudomonadati; Bacteroidota; Bacteroidia; Bacteroidales; Prevotellaceae.
CGGGAUAUAGUUCAGUCCGGUUAGAAUGCCUGCUUUGGGAGCAGGAGGUCGUGAGUUCGAAUCUCGCUAUCCCGA